Molecule: ribosomal RNA, 254 nt
Filed under: uncultured bacterium
Lineage: Bacteria
Description: partial 16S ribosomal RNA
Rfam family: Bacterial small subunit ribosomal RNA
Source: RNAcentral
UACAGAGGUGGCAAGCGUUGUUCGGAAUUACUGGGCGUAAAGGGCGCGUAGGUGGCCAGCACAAGUCAGUUGUGAAAUCUCCGGGCUUAACUCGGAAAGGUCAACUGAUACUGUGCGACUAGAGUGCAGAAGGGGCAACUGGAAUUCUCGGUGUAGCGGUGAAAUGCGUAGAUAUCGAGAGGAACACGUGCGGCGAAGGCGGGUUGCUGGGCUGACACUGACGCUGAUGCGCGAAAGCCAGGGGAGCGAACGGG